Molecule: small nuclear RNA, 179 nt
Organism: Sciurus vulgaris (Eurasian red squirrel)
Lineage: Eukaryota; Metazoa; Chordata; Mammalia; Rodentia; Sciuridae
Gene: U2
Rfam family: U2 spliceosomal RNA
About the family: U2 is a small nuclear RNA (snRNA) component of the spliceosome (involved in pre-mRNA splicing). Complementary binding between U2 snRNA (in an area lying towards the 5' end but 3' to hairpin I) and the branchpoint sequence (BPS) of the intron results the bulging out of an unpaired adenosine, on the BPS, which initiates a nucleophilic attack at the intronic 5' splice site, thus starting the first of two transesterification reactions that mediate splicing.
Source: Ensembl
AGCACUUCUGGGCCUUUUGGCUAGGUUAAGUGUAGUAUCCAUUCUUAGCAUUUUAAUAUCUGAUAUAUCCUCUAUCCAAGGACAAGUUAUUAAAUGCAUUUGGAUUAGGGAGAUGAAAUAGGAGCUUAUUCCAUCCAUCCCCCUGGUAUUGCAGUACCUCCAGGAACAGAGUAACCCCU